This 872-nucleotide ribosomal RNA is filed under the name Enterococcus faecium. Its description in RNAcentral is "bacterial SSU rRNA". It matches the Rfam family "Bacterial small subunit ribosomal RNA", at positions 45 to 892 of the family's 1533-position model. Lineage: Bacteria; Bacillati; Bacillota; Bacilli; Lactobacillales; Enterococcaceae. The record is from RNAcentral.
UGCUAUACAUGCAAGUCGUACGCUUCUUUUUCCACCGGAGCUUGCUCCACCGGAAAAAGAAGAGUGGCGAACGGGUGAGUAACACGUGGGUAACCUGCCCAUCAGAAGGGGAUAACACUUGGAAACAGGUGCUAAUACCGUAUAACAAUCGAAACCGCAUGGUUUUGAUUUGAAAGGCGCUUUCGGGUGUCGCUGAUGGAUGGACCCGCGGUGCAUUAGCUAGUUGGUGAGGUAACGGCUCACCAAGGCCACGAUGCAUAGCCGACCUGAGAGGGUGAUCGGCCACAUUGGGACUGAGACACGGCCCAAACUCCUACGGGAGGCAGCAGUAGGGAAUCUUCGGCAAUGGACGAAAGUCUGACCGAGCAACGCCGCGUGAGUGAAGAAGGUUUUCGGAUCGUAAAACUCUGUUGUUAGAGAAGAACAAGGAUGAGAGUAACUGUUCAUCCCUUGACGGUAUCUAACCAGAAAGCCACGGCUAACUACGUGCCAGCAGCCGCGGUAAUACGUAGGUGGCAAGCGUUGUCCGGAUUUAUUGGGCGUAAAGCGAGCGCAGGCGGUUUCUUAAGUCUGAUGUGAAAGCCCCCGGCUCAACCGGGGAGGGUCAUUGGAAACUGGGAGACUUGAGUGCAGAAGAGGAGAGUGGAAUUCCAUGUGUAGCGGUGAAAUGCGUAGAUAUAUGGAGGAACACCAGUGGCGAAGGCGGCUCUCUGGUCUGUAACUGACGCUGAGGCUCGAAAGCGUGGGGAGCAAACAGGAUUAGAUACCCUGGUAGUCCACGCCGUAAACGAUGAGUGCUAAGUGUUGGAGGGUUUCCGCCCUUCAGUGCUGCAGCUAACGCAUUAAGCAGGUCUUGGGAUUCAGUUGGGCAC